This 1457-nucleotide unclassified non-coding RNA is filed under the name uncultured fungus. RNAcentral describes it as "sequence contains 18S rRNA gene, ITS1, 5.8S rRNA gene, ITS2, 28S rRNA gene". The stretch from base 493 to 1457 matches the Rfam family "Eukaryotic large subunit ribosomal RNA", at positions 1 to 961 of the family's 3401-position model. Lineage: Eukaryota; Fungi. The record is from RNAcentral.
GGAAGGAUCAUUAUCACUAAUCCAAUUCAUCUUAACCUAGCCUCUAGUUGCAGCACGGGACCUCGCUAGCGAAAGCAGGCUUGGCUCUCAUGCUGCAUCUAUCAAAUCUAAUUAAACAAAGGACCUUUCACUAAGACCAAAUCUAAAAACCAAAUUCUCAACGAUGGAUAUCUUGGUUCCCAUAACGAUGAAGAACGCAGCGAAGUGCGAUAAGCAAUGCGAAUUGCAGAACCGUGAGUCAUCAGAUUUUUGAACGCAACUGGCGCUAACUGGAACCCCAGCUAGCAUGCUUGUUUCAGUGUCUUAUCAUCUCCUCACCCAAAUCUUAAUGCUGGAGAUACCCUUCUCUGGUUAAGUACGAAAGCACUCUGCGCUCUGCAAGCGGCUUCGGUCGCACUCAAUGCAGCAGUCACAUUGUUCUCAAUGUGAACUCAUUGAGAGUAGAGGCAGUGCAGCCAUGCUGCUAGUGCUUAGAGAAUCCAAACUCUUCUUUAAUCUGAAAUCAAGCAGGACCACCCGCUGAACUUAAGCAUAUCACUAAGCGGAGGAAAAGAAAUUAACUAAGAUUGCCUCAGUAACGGCGAGUGAAGCGGCAAAAGCCCAAACUGGAAAUCUUCGUGCCUCGUACGACGAAUUGUAAUCUAAAGGUGGGAAACUCACCUAGGGGAGGCGCAGAAGUUGCUUAGAAUAGCACGCCAAAGAGGGUGACAGCCCCGUAUGUGGUACCUCUCCUUAACGAGUUCCUUUCAAAGAGUCGGGUUGUUUUGAAUUGCAGCCCUAAGCGGGAGAUAGACUUCUUCUAAGGCUAAAUAUAUAUGGGAAACCGAUAGCGAACAAGUACUGUGAAGGAAAGAUGAAAAGCACUUUGAAAAGAGAGUCAAAAGACUUGAAAUUGUUGAGAAGGAAGGAGUAGAAACUAAUCAUUUCUCAAAAAUAUAUACUCCAUUAAUUUCGUCUGAGUUGUCAAAAUUAGCAAUAAAUUGUCAUUCUUCGGCAAAGAGAAAUAAGAAAUGGGAGCGAGAUUUUUGAGGAAAUGGCAAUAUGAGGUUCUAUAUCCACAAAAGCUUGGGGUACAUUCAUGCACUCCUCUGCUGGUGGGCAUAUUUCCUGAGGAGCUUAGUGCGAUAUUGCCAAAAAGGUUUUUACUCACCCGUCUUGAAACACGGACCAAGGAGUUUAACAAAUAUGCGAGUGUGCUGGUGGAUAAACCAACACGCGUAAUGAAAGUAAUAGAUGCCAAGCGCAAGCAGCAGCAUCGACCGACCAUGAUCCUCAGGUGAAAGGUUUGAGUAUGAGCAUAUCUGUUAAGACCCGAAAGAUGGUGAACUAUGCCUGGGUAGGGUGAAGCCAGGGGAAACUCUGGUGGAGGCUCGUAGCGGUUCUGACGUGCAAAUCGAUCGUCAAACUUGGGUAUAGGGGCGAAAGACUAAUCGAACCAUCUAGUAGCUGGUUCCCUC